AACGAACGCUGGCGGCAUGCCUAGCACGUGCAAGUCGAACGAGACCUUCGGGUCUAGUGGCGCACGGGUGCGUAACGCGUGGGAACCUGCCCUUAGGUUCGGAAUAACUCCCCGAAAGGGGUGCUAAUACCGGAUAAUGUCUUCGGACCAAAGAUUUAUCGCCUUUGGAUGGGCCCGCGUUGGAUUAGCUAGUUGGUAGGGUAAAAGCCUACCAAGGCGACGAUCCAUAGCUGGUCUGAGAGGAUGAUCAGCCACACUGGGACUGAGACACGGCCCAGACUCCUACGGGAGGCAGCAGUGGGGAAUAUUGGACAAUGGGCGAAAGCCUGAUCCAGCAAUGCCGCGUGAGUGAUGAAGGCCUUAGGGUUGUAAAGCUCUUUUACCCGGGAUGAUAAUGACAGUACCGGGAGAAUAAGCUCCGGCUAACUCCGUG
Molecule: ribosomal RNA, 433 nt
Filed under: uncultured bacterium
Lineage: Bacteria
Description: partial 16S ribosomal RNA
Rfam family: Bacterial small subunit ribosomal RNA
Source: RNAcentral